Molecule: ribosomal RNA, 164 nt
Filed under: Gnetum camporum
Lineage: Eukaryota; Viridiplantae; Streptophyta; Gnetopsida; Gnetales; Gnetaceae
Description: 5.8S ribosomal RNA
Rfam family: 5.8S ribosomal RNA
About the family: 5.8S ribosomal RNA (5.8S rRNA) is a component of the large subunit of the eukaryotic ribosome. It is transcribed by RNA polymerase I as part of the 45S precursor that also contains 18S and 28S rRNA.
Source: RNAcentral
ACUACGACUCUCGACAAUGGAUAUCUCGGCUCUCGCUUCGAUGAAGAACGUAGCGAAAUGCGAUACCCUGUGUGAAAUGCAGAAUCCCGUGAAUCAUAGAAUCUUUGAACGCAAGUUGCGCCCGAGGCCUAGGCUGAGGGCACGUCUGCCUGGGUGUCGUGAAA